GACGAACGCUGGCGGCGUGCUUAACACAUGCAAGUCGAACGGAAAGGCCCUGCUUUUGUGGGGUGCUCGAGUGGCGAACGGGUGAGUAACACGUGAGUAACCUGCCCUUGACUUUGGGAUAACUUCAGGAAACUGGGGCUAAUACCGGAUAGGAGCUCCUGCUGCAUGGUGGGGGUUGGAAAGUUUCGGCGGUUGGGGAUGGACUCGCGGCUUAUCAGCUUGUUGGUGGGGUAGUGGCUUACCAAGGCUUUGACGGGUAGCCGGCCUGAGAGGGUGACCGGCCACAUUGGGACUGAGAUACGGCCCAGACUCCUACGGGGGGCAGCAGUGGGGAAGAUUGCACAAUGGGCGGAAGCCUGAUGCAGCAACGCCGCGUGCGGGAGGACGGCCUUCGGGUGGUAAACAGCUUUCGCCUGUGACGAAGCGUGAGUGACGGUAAUGGGGAAAGAAGCACCGGCUAACUACGU
This 467-nucleotide ribosomal RNA is filed under the name uncultured bacterium. RNAcentral's name for it is "partial 16S ribosomal RNA". It matches the Rfam family "Bacterial small subunit ribosomal RNA", at positions 28 to 506 of the family's 1533-position model. The record is from RNAcentral.